AUGGCAUGGUGGCUGGAUUCCAAGGCACAUGUCCCAAGUAAACAAGGUAGAAAUACAUUCAUAAUCUAGCCUCAGAAGUCACAUAACAUGACUCAGGCUGGGUUCUGUUGGUCAGAUAAUUUACUACAGGUUCUGAGAUUCAAGGUGAGUGGGCAUACCCUCUUACUCUUGGUGGGGAGUGCAAAAUUCUAGAUCAUCUAGGAUGGGAAACAUUGUGGUCAUCUUUGGAGAAUAUAGUAUGUUGUGUCUUAGUCCAUUUGGGCUGCUAUAACAAACUGCCAUGGAUUGUGUGGCAUAUUUACAGUAGAAAUUUAUUUCUCACAGUUCUGGAGCUGGCUAAUUCCAAGAUCAGGAUUGGGAGAGGACCCACUUCCCUGGUUCACGGACAGCCAUCUCCUCACUGUAACUUCGUGUGUGGCAGGGUGAGGGAGCAUUCUAAGGCCUCUUUUAUAAAAGUGCUAAUCCCUUAUGAGGGUUCUGCUUUCAUGACCUAAUCACCUCCAAAGGUCCCAUUUCUAAAUACCCUCACAUGGAGGAUUAGGCCUCAAGACAUGACAGGGUCAGGGGGUGGAUGUAAACAUUCAGUUUGGAGUUCCUGUCGUGGCUCAGUGGUUAAUGAAUCCAACUAGGAACCAUGAGGUUGUGGGUUCGAUCCCCGGCCUUGCUCAGUGGGUUAAGGAUCUGGCGUUGCCGUGAGCUGUGGUGUAGGUCACAGACACAGCUUGGAUCCCAUGUUGCCGUGGCUGUGGUGUAGGCUGGUGGCUACAGUUCCGAUUAGACCCCUAGGCUGGGAACUUCCAUAUGCCACUGGUGUGGCCCUAGAAAAGACAAAAAACAAAAACAAAAACAUUGUUUAUAGCAUGCUGCACUAACGUUUUGUUUUCUAGGAACAUUCCAUUUAAUAGUUUUUCUUGUUACAUUCACUAAUGCAUUCCCAAGCCACCCAUUGAAGCUGUUAGUUUUUUUCUCAGUACCUUGGAACACUUGGGGUAAUUGCUUCCUCCCACUUUUUUUUUUUUUUUUUUUUUUUUUUUUUGUCUUUUUUCCAUUUCUCUGGCUGCUCCCGCGGCAUAUUGAGGUUCCCAGGCUAGGGGUCAAAUGGGGGCUGUAGCUGCCGGCCUACAAUCAAGCCACAGCAACUCCGGACCCAAGCUGCGUCUGCAACCUACACCAGAGCAACGCCAGAUCCUUAACUCAUUGAGCAAGGCCAGGGAUCAAACCCAUAACCUCAUGUUUCCUAGUUGGAUUCGCUAACCACUGAGCCAUGAUGGGAACUCCCUCCCACUCUUUUUGAGGCCUUCAUGCCAGUGCCUUCAGUCCUCUUUGCCAGUGUAGACUGGUUGCUCUGUAUACCUGUUACACAGCUGUUGUUCCAAGUUCUUGCUUCUCCAUCAUUCUGGGAAUUCUGUUCACUUAUUUUUGCACUGAAUCCCUCAUUUUCUGGACCCAGUGCUUCCGAUUGUUGCUUUAUUCUCCCGUUUUGGUGACGUAUAUCACUCAGAAGUCUCCUGAGAAAGGGUGUAUUGUGGGAUGUAUGUGGCCCCCAAGCUUAUGUGUACAGCCUAAGCCUCAGAAUCAGUGAAUAUUUCCUGAUUUGGAAAAAAAAAAAUGGGUCUUGGCACAUAUGACUAAGUUACAGAUCUAAGAUGAGGUUAUCCUUAACUUUCUAGGUCCAAAGUCAAGUGAGAAAUGUUCUUCUCAAAGACAGAAGAGGAGAAAAAAAUGUUCUUCUCAAAGACAGAAGAGGAGAAGACAAAGGAACAGAGAAGAGGACCUUGUGAAGAUGGAGGAAGAAACUGGAGAGAUGCAGCCAGAAGGAAUAUUGACGGCCAAGAGGAGCUGGAAGAAACAAGGAAGGAUUCUCCCUGAGAGCCUCCAGAAGGAGUGUGGCCUGCUGAUACCUCAGUUUCACACUUCUGACUUGCAGAAUUGCAAGAGAAUACAUUUCUGUUCUUCGAAGCCACCAGGAUCUGGAAAGAUUUAAUGUGGUAAUUUGAAGACCAUCUCAGGGCUUCUACAAAACUUAAGUGUCUUGUUCCAACCUGACAAGCCCAAAGUAAAAAGAGAGUUCUGUUUUUAAAAAGAAUAAUCAAUGUGAAUUUUGGAGCAUGGAGUUAGCCUCAUUAAGAUUUAUAGAAAUCCAAAAGUUUUUGAGAAAAUUGGAUAUAAAUUUUAGAGCACGAAAUGAACCUCAGUAAGAUUUAUAGAAAACCUAUAAAAUGUUUUUUUCUUUUUUCAGCUACACCCGUGUUAUAUGGAGGUUCCCAGGCUAGGGGUUGAUUUGGGCCACAGCCACAGCAAUGCAGGAUCCGAGCCACGUCUUCCAUCUACACCACAGCUCAUGGCAACACCAGAUCCUUAACCCACUGUUCAAGGCCAGGGAUUGAAUCCACAACCUUCUGGUUCGUAGUUGGAUUCGUUUCCGCUGCGCCAUGAUGGUAACUCCAAAAUCCUACAAAAUCUUAAGGAUAAUUGUAUGAAUGAAUGAGCUGUCAGGUUGCCAGUUCAAAAUGAAAAGACAUUUCUGGACAUUUGAGUUUCUACUGGCAUGAAAGAGAUUGAGAAAACUACUUAACUACAAAUAUGGACCAUUCCUUAAGGAAAGCCAUCUCAGAGAGUGGAGUCAAGAGUGGGGAGAAGCAAAGCCAAAAACUGAUGAGAUGAUGCAUUAAAACAAGAAUUGGCAAACUAGGGCCCAUAAAACCAAUCCAGGCUGUUGUUGCAUAAGCCCACAUGCUAAGAGACCUGGCAACUUUAGCUUUUGUUUCUUGAGAGCCACCUGCCAUUACUAUCUGAUGUAAAGAGGAAAACCUGGCAGAUGAGUGUCCAAGGGACAGAGAGACCCAGCCUGCUCUCAGCCAUUCCAGCAACCCCAGUGGAGGCACCAGCCCAGUGAGUGAAAUUCCUUUCCAUCGUACCACUUCAGCUGAGCUGCCCCACCCAACAUCACGGAGUAGAGACAAGCUGUUCUGAGUCCUGUCCAAAUUACAAAACCAUGAGCAAAUAAAUGGUUGUUUAUGUUUG
This 3024-nucleotide long non-coding RNA is filed under the name Sus scrofa (pig). Its description in RNAcentral is "lncRNA (ENSSSCG00050065152.1)". Lineage: Eukaryota; Metazoa; Chordata; Mammalia; Artiodactyla; Suidae. The record is from RNAcentral.